Molecule: long non-coding RNA, 487 nt
Organism: Mauremys mutica (yellowpond turtle)
Lineage: Eukaryota; Metazoa; Chordata; Testudines; Geoemydidae
Exons: 5
Source: RefSeq, a predicted model, not a curated record
GGGAAGGCUGGAAAGAAGGGCAAAGCAGUUCAGGUUCUCAGAGGAAGCUGACAAGACUUUUGAAUUCCAUUGUAUAGGAGGCCCCUGAAGGGGGAAGGAAAGAGGAGAGCAGAAAAGGAGAGGUAGCCCAAAACUGGACUCGUGAGAUAAGAAAAAGAAACCGAGAGGAAGACAGAGUAGAGGAAUGUUUUUCUCCCCCUUGCCCCAGGGCCAAUCCUGCACAGCCUUGAGUGACUCCUGCAAAGCACAGAGCACCCUCAGAUCAUAUUAACUUCAGAAGAGGUUCUGGGGGCACCUCACCUCUCACAAUCAAGUCCUGUGUAAACUGUGUCCUCAAUGGAAGCCUCCGUCAGACACUGUUUCUCCACCAUUUUGUGUGGAAGCAAUUGACCAAGAACCCACAACUUCUUCAAGGAGCAUUUGUGAGGGAGUCAGAGGAGGCAAGAAGAAUAGGGUGGAGCUUGAGGUGUUACUAGCAGCUUAGAAA